Molecule: ribosomal RNA, 253 nt
Filed under: uncultured bacterium
Lineage: Bacteria
Description: partial 16S ribosomal RNA
Rfam family: Bacterial small subunit ribosomal RNA
Source: RNAcentral
UACGUAGGGUGCGAGCGUUAAUCGGAAUUACUGGGCGUAAAGCGUGCGCAGGCGGUGAGCCAAGCCAGGCGUGAAAGCCCCGGGCUUAACCUGGGAAUGGCGCUUGGGACUGGCCCACUGGAGUGCGGCAGAGGGAACUGGAAUUCCUGGUGUAGCAGUGAAAUGCGUAGAGAUCAGGAGGAACACCAAUGGCGAAGGCAGGUUCCUGGGCCAGCACUGACGCUCAGGCACGAAAGCGUGGGGAGCAAACAGG